CAGUAGCCGCGGUAAUACGGAGGGUGCAAGCGUUAUCCGGAUUUAUUGGGUUUAAAGGGUCCGUAGGCGGACUUAUAAGUCAGUGGUGAAAGCCUGUCGCUUAACGAUAGAACUGCCAUUGAUACUGUAAGUCUUGAGUAUAUUUGAGGUAGCUGGAAUAAGUAGUGUAGCGGUGAAAUGCAUAGAUAUUACUUAGAACACCAAUUGCGAAGGCAGGUUACCAAGAUAUAACUGACGCUGAGGGACGAAAGCGUGGGUAGCGAACAGGAUUAGAGACCCCAGUAGUCCCUGUCUCUUAUAA
This 301-nucleotide ribosomal RNA is filed under the name uncultured bacterium. RNAcentral's name for it is "partial 16S ribosomal RNA". It matches the Rfam family "Bacterial small subunit ribosomal RNA", at positions 509 to 809 of the family's 1533-position model. The record is from RNAcentral.